RNAcentral lists this ribosomal RNA (347 nucleotides) under Wolbachia pipientis. RNAcentral describes it as "bacterial SSU rRNA". It matches the Rfam family "Bacterial small subunit ribosomal RNA", at positions 1068 to 1416 of the family's 1533-position model. The record is from RNAcentral. Lineage: Bacteria; Pseudomonadati; Pseudomonadota; Alphaproteobacteria; Rickettsiales; Anaplasmataceae.
UGAGAUGUUGGAUUAAGUCCCGUAACGAGCGCAACCUCAUCCUUAGCUACCAUCAUGCCUGCUGGGGACUUUAUCGAAACUGCCAGUGAUAAACUGGAGGAAGGUGGGGAUGAUGUCAAGUCAUCAUGGCCCUGAUGGAGUGGGCUACACACGGGCUACGAUGGUGGCUACAAUGGGCUGCAAAUUCACGAGGCUAAGCUAAUCCCUUAAAAGCCAUCUCAGUUCGGAUUGUACUCUGCAGCUCGAGUGCAUGAAGAUGGAAUCCUUAGUAAUUGUGGAUCAGCACGCCACGGUGAAUAUGUUCUCCGGUCUUGUACACACUGCCCGUCCCUCCAUGGGAAUUGGUU